GACGAACGCUGGCGGCGUGCCUAACACAUGCAAGUCGAACGGAGCUUACUUAUUUGAUCCCUUCGGGGUGACGAUUUUUAAGCUUAGUGGCGGACGGGUGAGUAACGCGUGAGUAACCUGCCUUACAGAGGGGGACAACAGUUGGAAACGACUGCUAAUACCGCAUAAAAUAGCGAGAGGGCAUCCUCUUGUUAUCAAAGGAGCAAUCCGCUGUAAGAUGGACUCGCGUCCAAUUAGAUAGUUGGUGGGGUAACGGCCCACCAAGUCGACGAUUGGUAGCCGGACUGAGAGGAUGAACGGCCACAUCGGGACUGAGACACGGCCCAAACUCCUACGGGAGGCAGCAGUGGGGAAUAUUGGUCAAUGGCCGCAAGGCUGAACCAGCCAAGUAGCGUGAGGGAUGACAG
This 407-nucleotide ribosomal RNA is filed under the name uncultured bacterium. Its description in RNAcentral is "bacterial SSU rRNA". It matches the Rfam family "Bacterial small subunit ribosomal RNA", at positions 28 to 414 of the family's 1533-position model. The record is from RNAcentral.